GUUACUCCCAUAUUUAGCAGCUUAAAAUAUCAAUAAAUCUUUAUUACCUCACAGUUUCUGAGGGUCAGGAAUUUGGGAGCAACUCAGCUGGGAAGUUCUGGCUCAGAGUCUCACAUGAGGUUGCAGUCAAGUUGUCGGCCGGGGCUGUAAUUAUCUGAGGGCUCGAUGGGGACUGAAGGACCCACUUCCAAGAUGGAUCACUCAUGAGGCUGUUGGCAGGAGGCCUCAGUUCCCACCACACGGAUACUUGAGUGUCCUCACGACAUGGCAGCUGGCUUCCCCCAGGGCGAGUGGUCCAAAGGGGACAAGGUGGAAGCUGAAUUCUCUUUUAUGACCUAGGCUCGAAAGACACACAUUUCUGCCAUAUCCUGUUAUUUACACAGGUCAGCCCUGGUUAAUGUGGGAGAGGACCACACAAGGGCAUGAAUAGUAGGAGGCAAGAAUUAUUGUGGUUCACCUGGAGGCUGCCUACCACACAUAUUGUCCUGCACCUUCCUUUUUUUCACUGAGCAGUGAUCUUCAGAAUAGUUCCAUAUCAAUACACAUAGAGUGACCUCACCUUUUUAAAUGCAUGGUAUUGCACGUGGGUACCCCAUGAUUUAUUGCCCCGUGAUUUAUUUAUUUGGGUUUUCCCGAAUGAGCUUUUUUCCCGAACGAGCUUUUCCCAAUAUUUACCCAGUCCUGUACUGAGGUCUCUGUUGCGGUUGUUCCUGAUUUUUUGCUGUUACAGUCAGGGCUGCAAUGACUGUCUUUGUACAGGAAUUAUUUCCAGUAUAUCUGGAGAAGUAAUACUCAGGGAUGGAAUGGCUAAGUCAAAGGUUGUGGUGCUUUGAAAAUGUAGUCAUAAAAUUUCUGAUAUUUCUUGGAUCGAGAGAUGGGGUCCAUAGCUCCUCCCCUAAAUCAGAGUGGGCUUUUGAUGCAUUUAACCAAGAGAGUAUUGCAGAAGCGAUGCUAUGUGACAUCCGAGGCUGGGUCAUAAAAGGCCAUGCAGUUCCCACCUUGUUUGCUGGAACACUUGCUCUUGGAGCCCUGAACCACCAUGUGAGGCUGCCAAGCUAUAAGAAGGCCCAAGAUACAUGAAGAGGACACAUAUUGGCACAUGAAUCAACAGUCCCAGUGAUACCCGGCCUUUGAGUCACGCCAGCAAAGAUGCCACUCGUGAGAGUGAAGAAGAAGCCUCCAGACAUUGAGUCACCCCCAGCUGAGGCCUUAGACUUCAUGGAGCAGAAAUGAACCAUAGAAAACUGGAAUAAAGGGUAUGGGCAUUUUUUAUUUGUGCCAAGCACUUAACACACACCUUAGCUCGUUUCAUCUUCCUAAUAACAAUCCUUCAGCGCAGGUAUUAUCAUCCUCAUUUUACAAAUCGGGAGACUGAAGCUCAGAGAGGUUUGGCAACUUGCCUAAAACCUCACAGCAGAUGACUCAAAGAGCUGAGAUGCUAACCUGGGUCUUUCUGACUCCAGAGCCACCCUCUUAUGUGGUCACAGGGCUGUCUGCUGAAGGAGAGAAGCAAGUCACUGUACCAAACUUGCAGCCUUAACCAUAUGGAAUUUCUAGACCUGAAGAACACACUGGGUUAGAUUAGAAGUUCCAGCCCUUGGACCUUUGGGAGCUAUUUUUGGCAAUAACUCCAUGGAAAUUGUGUGUUUAUUCUCUCUGCCAAUGUGGUUUAGUCAGGGAAGACUGUGUAAGCUCUCUAUUAUUGCCAGGAAUUCUGUUCAUUGAGAAUCUUGACGGGUCAGAGGUUCUUUCUAGCAGUUAGUAACCCCUUUGAUUAACAAACAAAUGAAGAUAUUACUUCCUUUAGUGGGAAGAAAGCUCUCUAAAGGUGGGAUUCUGUCUAAGCACUCUGCUGGGGAGUAGGUGGGAGACCCCAUCCCUGGGUGAUUUCUCCCCUACUGGUGGUGGGUGGUAUUGCAGCUCAGCUCAGACCACUGGGAGGUGAGAGCAGCUUACACAGGAGACCCACUUCCAAGAAAGGCUCCACUAAGAAGCAGUGCUGCCUGAUGGUGAAACCUGCUGUCUCAGGAGUCAGGUGUUCUGGGUUUAAAUCCCUGCCCUGACAUAUGUCAGGAAAACAGAAACCACACCGGGUGUUUCUAGCAAACGAAAAUGGUUACCUGAAUGAUGGGGCAAAUCAGGGUAUGAUGAGCACCAGAAGGACGGCCCCCUGAGCCCUCGCAAGGUGGGGAGGGAGACGGGGAGAUGGUUUUCCAGAGCCCAGGAGCCGGGCCACCCGUGGGCGGAGGAAUGGCCGUGGAACUGCUCAGGGGAAGGACUUUCCCACAGGAGCUGGUGCCACAGAGAAGUCCCCACUGCUGCCAAGGAUGCCACCUGAUGCAGAGGGAGGGCUCCCCUGCUUCUCCCCUCCUCCACCCUCCAGUCUCCUGCUGGCGGAACCCAGCUGAAACCACGGCCAAGGCAGCCUGGGCGAGUCAGUUCUCGCCACACAGAGGAGUGAUGACAACCCCUAACCGAAGGACUAAAAUCAGCAAGGCUGACCACACCGAGUGCUGCAGGGGAUGCAGACCCCCAGGCACUCUCAGGCCCACGGGGCGGGGAAUGGAAGUCACUAACCACCACCCCCAGAAAACUGGCAACCUGCACAGCCCCCGGGCCCUAGCAAUCCCACUCCUGGGGGUUAACCCCGAGACCCCAGGAGCCCUCCCCAACAGGCAGAUGCACAGAUGUUCACAGCAGCAGCGUCGCUCAGGGAAUGUCCCUGGAGACAACCCACGUAUUCCCCCAGCAGGACAAUGGAUAAGCAGUGUGAUGCAGCCAUUGGACGGAAUACUGCUUGGUGAAGAAAAAGAACAAACUCCCACCUUAUGUAACAGCGUGGAUGGAGGUCACGGACACAGUGUUGAGUGAAAGAAGUCCGAUGUAAAACCUCACACACCGUAUAAUUCCACUUAUCUGAAGGCAAAAUUCAUCAACGGUGACAGAAACCAGAACCAGUGACUACCUCUGCGGGGAGGAGGGUCAGGGUGGUCUGAGGGAACCUUCCUGGGUACCAGAAAUGUCCUGUAUCUUAAGCCAGGUGGUAGUUCCACAGGCAUCCACCUAUGUCAAAACAUAUCAAGUUGGACACUUUGUAUGAGCACACACUAUGAUUGUGUGUUUUACCCCAAUAAACACUUUUGAAAAUCAUUUUUUAAAAAUAACUGAUGGAUUCUAGGAAUUAUAGGAAAGAAGUACGGACACCUGCUACAACAUGGAUGAACCUGGGAAUCAUCAAGCUAAGUGAAAGAAGCCAGACACAAAAGGCCACAUACUGUAUGAUUCUGUUCGUAUGAAACGUCCAGAACAGGCAAAUCCACAGAGGAGGAAAGUCGGUGAGGAAGCAAAGGCCCAGAGAGUUGAGUGCUUCGUCCAGGGUCACACAGCCUCCCAGACCUUGGCUGUGAGCCAUCACCCAUUGUUGCAAGAAGGGUUCCUGGAAAGCAAGCUGCCCCGAGUUCCUCGUAGAGAUCAGAGGAGCCACAA
Molecule: long non-coding RNA, 3486 nt
Organism: Physeter macrocephalus (sperm whale)
Lineage: Eukaryota; Metazoa; Chordata; Mammalia; Artiodactyla; Physeteridae
Exons: 3
Source: RefSeq, a predicted model, not a curated record